GCCGGGCGUGGUGGCUCAUGCCUGUAAUCCCAGCAUUUUGGGAGGCCGAGGCGGGUGGAUCACCUGAGGCCAGGAGUUCAAGACCAGCCUGGCCAACAUGGUGAAACCCCAUCUCUA
RNAcentral lists this non-coding RNA (117 nucleotides) under Gorilla gorilla gorilla (western lowland gorilla). The record is from Rfam by way of RNAcentral. Lineage: Eukaryota; Metazoa; Chordata; Mammalia; Primates; Hominidae.